This 76-nucleotide transfer RNA is filed under the name Verrucomicrobiia bacterium. RNAcentral's name for it is "tRNA-Arg". The record is from RNAcentral. Lineage: Bacteria; Pseudomonadati; Verrucomicrobiota; Verrucomicrobiia.
GCACCCGUGGUGAAAUUACGAUCAUGCUCCGCUUCGAACGGAGAGUUUGCAGGUGGGAGUCCUGCCGGGUGCGCCA